RNAcentral lists this ribosomal RNA (371 nucleotides) under uncultured bacterium. Its description in RNAcentral is "bacterial SSU rRNA". It matches the Rfam family "Bacterial small subunit ribosomal RNA", at positions 917 to 1290 of the family's 1533-position model. The record is from RNAcentral.
GGGCCCGCACAAGCGGUGGAGUAUGUGGUUUAAUUCGAUGCAACGCGAAGAACCUUACCAGGGUUUGACAUCCUGCGAAUCUCUUGGAAACGAGAGAGUGCCUUCGGGAGCGCAGUGACAGGUGGUGCAUGGCUGUCGUCAGCUCGUGUCGUGAGAUGUUGGGUUAAGUCCCGCAACGAGCGCAACCCACGUCGUUAGUUGCCAGCAUUUUAGUUGGGCACUCUAGCGAGACCGCCGGUGAUAAACCGGAGAAGGUGUGGAUGACGUCAAGUCAUCAUGCCCCUUACAUCUGGGCUACACACGUACUACAAUGCUACGGACAAAGGGCAGCAAACUCGCGAGAUCAAGCAAACCGCACAAAACGUUGCCCC